This 853-nucleotide long non-coding RNA is filed under the name Homo sapiens (human). RNAcentral's name for it is "HSALNT0380894". The record is from RNAcentral. Lineage: Eukaryota; Metazoa; Chordata; Mammalia; Primates; Hominidae.
CGGAGCACCCCAGGAUCGAAGAGGGCGCACGGGCCCGGCCCUCCCACGCGCCCUCCAGGGACCCGGCAGCCAGACAGACGGACAGGCGGACCGCUAGGGAGCUCAAGUACCCGGACACACGCACGAGCGCAGAACAAAGGGCCGGACAUGCUCCAGCCCGCUCCGCCUGCGCCUCGGCCUUGCGCGCGGGGGCCCGGGUUACCUGCGCAGUUUUAAAAAUAUUUUCCAAGAUCCCUUCAGUGAACAUGGGAUGCUUCCAUAAUGAAGAGAGAGACACACCGUGAUGACCUCCACAUACCAUAUUUGAUGACAGUCUUCCUUGAGCCAGCUGUGAUGUAAAGAAGUUUGUGCUGCAUGAGAGAGAUAGCACCUGAAGAAAAUGAGGCCCUGGAGGAUGAGAGACUCUAAAGGAAAAGGGAAGGGCCUGCUGUCUUCCAGCCACGCCAGCCCCCAACUGAGAAGCUGGGCUGGAGUGCUGUGGCACAACCAUAGCUCACUGCAGCCUCCACCUCCCUGGUUCAAGCGAUCUUCCCACCUCAGCCUCCCGAGUAGUUGAGACCACAGUGCCCUUGGUGUGGUGGAAGCAAGGUGCCAUGUGAUAAGUAAGCCUCCAGAGAGGCCUGCAUGGCAGGAUCCAAUGUCUUUAGCCAACAGCAUCUGGGAACCUGAGACCUGCCAACACCCUUGUGAGUGAGCCUGGAAGUGGACCUCCUGCUCUUGAACCUUGAGGUGACUAUAGUGCUGGCUGACACCUUGACUGCAGUCCCUGAGCUGGGGGGCCCAGCUGAUCUACUCCCAGAAUCCCCCCUACUAAAACAGUGAUAUAAUAAAUGCUUAUUGUUUCAAGCUGGUA